AUUGAACGCUGGCGGCAUGCCUUACACAUGCAAGUCGAACGGCAGCACGGGAGCUUGCUCCUGGUGGCGAGUGGCGAACGGGUGAGUAAUACAUCGGAACGUACCCUGAAGUGGGGGAUAACGUAGCGAAAGUUACGCUAAUACCGCAUAUUCUGUGAGCAGGAAAGAGGGGGAUCGCAAGACCUCUUGCUUUAGGAGCGGCCGAUGUCGGAUUAGCUAGUUGGUGAGGUAAAGGCUCACCAAGGCGACGAUCCGUAGCGGGUCUGAGAGGAUGAUCCGCCACACUGGGACUGAGACACGGCCCAGACUCCUACGGGAGGCAGCAGUGGGGAAUUUUUGGGACAAUGGGCGCAAGCCUGAUCCAGCCAUGCCGCGUGAGUGAAGAAGGCCUC
This 392-nucleotide ribosomal RNA is filed under the name uncultured bacterium. RNAcentral's name for it is "bacterial SSU rRNA". It matches the Rfam family "Bacterial small subunit ribosomal RNA", at positions 30 to 418 of the family's 1533-position model. The record is from RNAcentral.